Molecule: unclassified non-coding RNA, 21 nt
Filed under: Dictyostelium discoideum
Lineage: Eukaryota; Evosea; Eumycetozoa; Dictyosteliales; Dictyosteliaceae
Source: RNAcentral
UUUCUUUAGCGAUGUUGUUAC